Ribosomal RNA from Pteropus vampyrus (large flying fox), 120 nucleotides. NCBI's taxonomy places the organism in Eukaryota, Metazoa, Chordata, Mammalia, Chiroptera, Pteropodidae. The record is from Ensembl.
ACCUAUGGCCAUGCUACCCUGAACACGCCAGAUCCUAUCUGAUUUCGGAAGCUAAACAGGGUCGGGCCUGGUUAGUACUUGCAUGGGAAGAUCAUCGAGGAAGACCAGGUGCUGUAGGUG